CCAGCAGCCCCCCUUUUUUUGCAGACCGAGGGUCGUGAGCUCGCCUGGCGACGCGGCCUGGGAACAGCUUGGUCUCGCGGGCUGAGUGCUCUGGCCCCGGGUGGUAUGUAAG
This is a non-coding RNA of Sorex araneus (European shrew), 112 nucleotides long. The record is from Rfam. Lineage: Eukaryota; Metazoa; Chordata; Mammalia; Eulipotyphla; Soricidae.